Molecule: ribosomal RNA, 457 nt
Filed under: Micrevania sp. 288
Lineage: Eukaryota; Metazoa; Arthropoda; Insecta; Hymenoptera; Evaniidae
Description: eukaryotic LSU rRNA
Source: RNAcentral
CCUGAGAAACCCGAAAGAUCGAAUGGGGAGAUUCACCGUCAGCGACGUCGGCUUCGCGGUGGUUCGCGAUGCGCGGCGCCCUUAACCGGGCGACGUCGCACGCGGCCGCCGUGUUCAUGUCCGGCGGCGUCGGCGUGCACUUCUCCCCUAGUAGGACGUCGCGACCCGUUGGGUGUCGGUCUACGGCCCGGGUCGUCGCCUGUCCCGUCGCUUCGGCGUUGCGGGGCAGACACCCGGUAACCCGGCCGGCUGCCCGGCGGUACUCGCACGGUAUCUGGCCGCAAUCUUUCGAACUGCGUCUCAGGCCCGCCGCAAGCGCGGUCAGUGUAUACCCGGAGGUUACGGACCCAGUGCCGUCCCCGGGCCUGGCCCGUUGUUCGCCGGCGGUGUCCUCUGACAGGCCACGCGUUUUUCGUUGAUACCGGUCGGCGACGCUACUGCUUUGGGUACUUUCAGG